UGUGCCAGCAGCCGCGGUAAUACGUAGGGUGCGAGCGUUGUCCGGAAUUAUUGGGCGUAAAGGGCUCGUAGGCGGUUUGUCGCGUCGGGAGUGAAAACUCAGGGCUUAACUCUGAGCUUGCUUCCGAUACGGGCAGACUAGAGGUAUGCAGGGGAGAACGGAAUUCCUGGUGUAGCGGUGAAAUGCGCAGAUAUCAGGAGGAACACCGGUGGCGAAGGCGGUUCUCUGAGCAUUACCUGACGCUGAGGAGCGAAAGUGUGGGGAGCGAA
Molecule: ribosomal RNA, 269 nt
Filed under: uncultured Actinomycetales bacterium
Lineage: Bacteria; Bacillati; Actinomycetota; Actinomycetes; Actinomycetales
Description: partial 16S ribosomal RNA
Rfam family: Bacterial small subunit ribosomal RNA
Source: RNAcentral